CAGGCUUCUUGAUCUUUUGACUAAGAUCAAGUGCAAUAUCUAUUCUUAUCCGUUUGAUAUCUGGUAAAAGUUUACAGAGCUAUAUAUUCAACAAUAGUUUUGGAUCUCUGAUUUGUUUAUGUGGCCAGAACUUGGUGGUACCCAAAAACAAUCACAGCUCUG
This 162-nucleotide small nuclear RNA is filed under the name Salvator merianae (Argentine black and white tegu). Its description in RNAcentral is "U2 spliceosomal RNA (ENSSMRG00000013379.1)". It matches the Rfam family "U2 spliceosomal RNA". From Rfam's summary of the family: U2 is a small nuclear RNA (snRNA) component of the spliceosome (involved in pre-mRNA splicing). Complementary binding between U2 snRNA (in an area lying towards the 5' end but 3' to hairpin I) and the branchpoint sequence (BPS) of the intron results the bulging out of an unpaired adenosine, on the BPS, which initiates a nucleophilic attack at the intronic 5' splice site, thus starting the first of two transesterification reactions that mediate splicing. Lineage: Eukaryota; Metazoa; Chordata; Lepidosauria; Squamata; Teiidae. The record is from RNAcentral.